AGAGUUUGAUCCUGGCUCAGGAUGAACGCUAGCGGCAGGCUUAACACAUGCAAGUCGAGGGGCAGCGGGGAGGAAGCUUGCUUUCUCCGCCGGCGACCGGCGCACGGGUGAGUAACACGUAUGCAACCUGCCCCUGUCAGGGGGACAACCCGCCGAAAGGCGGGCUAAACCCGCGUACAUGCCACCGGGGCAUCCCGGAGGCAGGAAAGGCUUCGGCCGGACAGGGAUGGGCAUGCGGCGCAUUAGGCAGUAGGCGGGGUAACGGCCCACCUAACCGACGAUGCGUAGGGGUUCUGAGAGGAAGGUCCCCCACACUGGUACUGAGACACGGACCAGACUCCUACGGGAGGCAGCAGUGAGGAAUAUUGGUCAAUGGUCGGGAGACUGAACCAGCCAAGCCGCGUGAGGGAGGAAGGUACAGAGUAUCGUAAACCUCCUUUGUCAGGGAACAAAGACUGGGACGCGUCCCCGGAUGAGUGUACCUGAAGAAAAAGCAUCGGCUAACUCCGUGCCAGCAGCCGCGGUAAUACGGAGGAUGCGAGCGUUAUCCGGAUUUAUUGGGUUUAAAGGGUGCGCAGGCGGUCUGUUAAGUCAGCGGUCAAAGCCCGGGGCUCAACCCCGGCCCGCCGUUGAAACUGGCAGUCUCGAGUUGGAGAGAAGUAUGCGGAAUGCGCGGUGUAGCGGUGAAAUGCAUAGAUAUCGCGCAGAACUCCGAUUGCGAAGGCAGCAUGCCGGCUCCACACUGACGCUGAGGCACGAAAGCGUGGGUAUCGAACAGGAUUAGAUACCCUGGUAGUCCACGCAGUAAACGAUGAAUGCUGGCUGUCCGGGGGGACUGACCCCUGGGUGGCGAAGCGAAAGCGAUAAGCAUUCCACCUGGGGAGUACGCCGGCAACGGUGAAACUCAAAGGAAUUGACGGGGGCCCGCACAAGCGGAGGAACAUGUGGUUUAAUUCGAUGAUACGCGAGGAACCUUACCCGGGCUCAAACGGGGAGUGGCGCAGGCAGAGACGCCUGUUUCCCACGGGACACUCCCCGAGGUGCUGCAUGGUUGUCGUCAGCUCGUGCCGUGAGGUGUCGGCUUAAGUGCCAUAACGAGCGCAACCCCCGCGUGCAGUUGCUAACAGUCAACGCUGAGGACUCUGCACGGACUGCCGGCGCAAGCCGCGAGGAAGGCGGGGAUGACGUCAAAUCAGCACGGCCCUUACGUCCGGGGCGACACACGUGUUACAAUGGGUGGUACAGCGGGAAGCCAGGCGGCGACGCCGAGCGGAACCCGAAAUCCACUCUCAGUUCGGAUCGGAGUCUGCAACCCGACUCCGUGAAGCUGGAUUCGCUAGUAAUCGCGCAUCAGCCAUGGCGCGGUGAAUACGUUCCCGGGCCUUGUACACACCGCCCGUCA
Molecule: ribosomal RNA, 1402 nt
Filed under: uncultured bacterium
Lineage: Bacteria
Description: 16S ribosomal RNA
Rfam family: Bacterial small subunit ribosomal RNA
Source: RNAcentral